UACGGAGGGUGCAAGCGUUGUUCGGAAUCACUGGGCGUAAAGGGCGCGUAGGCGGUCCCAUAAGUCUGAUGUGAAAGCCCGGGGCUCAACCCCGGAAGUGCAUUGGAUACUGUGGGACUUGAGUUCGGGAGAGGAAGGCAGAAUUCCCGGUGUAGGGUUGUAAUCCGUAGAUAUCGGGAGGAAAACCGGUGGCGAAGGCGGCCUUCUGGAACGAAACUGACGCUGAGGCGCGAAGGCGUGGGUAGCAAACAGG
Molecule: ribosomal RNA, 253 nt
Filed under: uncultured bacterium
Lineage: Bacteria
Description: partial 16S ribosomal RNA
Rfam family: Bacterial small subunit ribosomal RNA
Source: RNAcentral